RNAcentral lists this ribosomal RNA (433 nucleotides) under uncultured bacterium. RNAcentral describes it as "partial 16S ribosomal RNA". It matches the Rfam family "Bacterial small subunit ribosomal RNA", at positions 29 to 507 of the family's 1533-position model. The record is from RNAcentral.
AACGAACGCUGGCGGCAUGCCUAACACAUGCAAGUCGAACGAGACCUUCGGGUCUAGUGGCGCACGGGUGCGUAACGCGUGGGAACCUGCCUUUAGGUUCGGAAUAACUCAGAGAAAUUUGAGCUAAUACCGGAUGAUGUCUUCGGACCAAAGAUUUAUCGCCUUUGGAUGGGCCCGCGUUGGAUUAGCUAGUUGGUGGGGUAAAGGCCUACCAAGGCGACGAUCCAUAGCUGGUCUGAGAGGAUGAUCAGCCACACUGGGACUGAGACACGGCCCAGACUCCUACGGGAGGCAGCAGUGGGGAAUAUUGGACAAUGGGCGAAAGCCUGAUCCAGCACUGCCGCGUGAGUGAUGAAGGCCUUAGGGUUGUAAAGCUCUUUUACCCGAGAUGAUAAUGACAGUAUCGGGAGAAUAAGCACCGGCUAACUCCGUG